Molecule: long non-coding RNA, 968 nt
Filed under: Cavia porcellus (domestic guinea pig)
Lineage: Eukaryota; Metazoa; Chordata; Mammalia; Rodentia; Caviidae
Description: lncRNA (ENSCPOG00000033743.1)
Source: RNAcentral
CAUGUAUCAUCCAAAUUUUAUUAAGGGUUCACUUUAUCAGAUCAUUAAGGUUACACUUAAGGUUCACAUAUGUUGAACAAUAUGCCAAUGUAUUAUCUCAUGAAGUAACUCAGAAAUAGAAAACUAAAUUAAAAAAAAAAAAAACCCAACUGAAUCCUUCAUAAACUAAGCACCAGUUCAAGGAAGGUUCAUCUCUGUUUAACUGAGGGGCUUCCCCAAAUGUAUAUGUUGCUUUCUUGUGGAAUACAAAUAUCAGCAAAAUGAAUAGAAUCAGUUUCCAAAAUAAUCGUGUCCAGAGAUCAGCUGUUCUUUGCCUUGGACAAGAGGCUUUUCAGUGUGAUGCACGAUGGAGUUGUGGCUUCCAAGUAGGAUGUCCUUUUGGGGGCACAUGAUGACAUUUUGAGGGAUGAAAUAUGAGGAACGGUUGUCAGGUAACAUCCAGAGCUCACCUUCAGAACACUCCAUCAUAGAUAGAAUGGCGUGUGCGUUCAUCAUGCAGCACAUGUGAAGGAACCUGGAAGGGGUGAAUCAGGUCAAGGACGAGGGGCUCAUUUCAGUCCUCUUCCACCUUUUUAGUGGGUUUUACUUUUCAGAAUGAAACCUGGGAGCAAACGGCACAGCACACUCCUGAUGACGGGGAGGGAGGAGCCGCCCGGCUGCCUGGCCUGUGGCACACACGAGGGGAAGUGUUGUGCCUGCUCAGGGCUGACCCAUGCGGGCACACAGAUGCCCACCCCUGCGAUGCGGCAGGCAGUGCGUGUCACAGCCAGGUCCCGUGGCUUCCCGGCCCUUCCCCACACAGGCCCUGCUCCCAUUCCUCCUCAGCUCACCCUCAGCUGCCUCCACACCCUCACCCUCACUCGCACAGGUGCUGCAUCAAAAACCGGCUGACCCAUGCGGGCACACAGAUGCCCACCCCUGCGAUGCGGCAGGCAGUGCGUGUCACAGCCAGGUCCCGUGGCUUCCCG